This 72-nucleotide transfer RNA is filed under the name Aedes aegypti (yellow fever mosquito). It matches the Rfam family "tRNA". Rfam says of the family: Transfer RNA (tRNA) molecules are approximately 80 nucleotides in length. The record is from Rfam by way of RNAcentral. Lineage: Eukaryota; Metazoa; Arthropoda; Insecta; Diptera; Culicidae.
GGCUCGGUAGCUUAGUUGGUAAAACAUUCGUCUUGUAUUCAAGAGUCGUGGGUUCGAAUCCCACCGGAGCAA